GCAUAAUAAUUUGCCUUUUAAUUGGAGGCUGGUAUGAAUGGGAAAACGAGAAUAAACCUGUCUCCAACACAGAUAUAAAAUCUUAUCUUCAGGUGAAGAAGCCUGAAUCACUAUAAAAGACAAGAAGACCCCGUCGAGCUUUAGUUUACUCUUAGGGCUAUAGUUAAUAUUUAUAUACUUCCCCCUAUGAGUAACUUUUGUUGGGGCGACAACGGACUAACUCAUCAUCCGACAAACCACAGACUUUUAAUCGCAUAAUAGAUCCUCUAUAGACUUUAAGAAUAAGCUACCGCAGGGAUAACAGACUAAUCUCCCCCCGGAGCCCAAAUCUACGGGGAGGC
RNAcentral lists this ribosomal RNA (341 nucleotides) under Marphysa bellii. RNAcentral's name for it is "partial 16S ribosomal RNA". It matches the Rfam family "Archaeal large subunit ribosomal RNA", at positions 2036 to 2586 of the family's 2987-position model. The record is from RNAcentral. Lineage: Eukaryota; Metazoa; Annelida; Polychaeta; Eunicida; Eunicidae.